Molecule: long non-coding RNA, 947 nt
Organism: Mus musculus (house mouse)
Lineage: Eukaryota; Metazoa; Chordata; Mammalia; Rodentia; Muridae
Product: predicted gene, 42144
Exons: 2
Source: RefSeq, a predicted model, not a curated record
UAGAUCAGGCUGGCCUCGAACUCAGAAAUCCGCCUGCCUCUGCCUCCCAAGUGCUGAGAUUAAAGGCAUGCACCACCACCGCCCGGCUGUUACUUCCUUCUUGAUCCCAGACUUUCCCACCAGCAACAGAGACAGGCAGGAAAAGAGCACCUGGGAGAAGCUUUCCUACUGCCGAUGCCACAGCAGCACAAGACCGUGUUUCCCGGCAGCCCGCUUAUCUGGCCAAAGACGGUUUCCUCCUCACACAAUCACAGAGGACCUGUGUGCAAGUGAAAGUAUUGUUUCUGCGCGGCCCAUGGCAUGCCGUCUUUCCCACCGGUUACAGUUCCUCUGCUAGACAAACAGGAAUGUUCUGCUCUGGACUAGGUGAAACUGACUAGCUGCUUCUGUCAGAGCAUUUAAUUGUAUCAAUCAGAAUGGAUAGAACACAUCACCACGAUUCCUCCAAAGAUGGAUUCAAGUCCCCUCAAACCAGGAGCCAACAUUAAGUCCUUCAUUGACUUCGUCAGUUUUUCUGCUGCAAUGAUAAGAAGAAUAGCUAACACCAUGGGAAGGCGAUUCUCCGAAGCUCACGGAAUCUGGGGAUUCACUCAUCGUCGUAUAAACACACCAUGUGGGUUAAAACGAGGACAAAUCCAGAUACUCACCAUUAGGGAAUGUCAAUGCAUUUCAACUGCUUGGCCCCACAAGGUCAAAACACAGCCACAGUGUCUUCUCACAAUCCUCCAGGCUCUUCCCAGAUUACAGAGAGUGAUCUGGUCCUAUUCAAGAGGACAGAGUAUCCACCAGGCUCUGUCAAAGCUGCUCAGCAAAGACCAGAUAACCUCAGUUUGCUGUGAAGGAUAGCAGGGGUUGCUCCCGGGGUACCUGGUCCUCCUGUGUGAAAUGGGUAUGUGCUCUUUAUCCUCACAGCCAGGAAACUGGACUAACAACAGUGCAUAAAACUA